Molecule: long non-coding RNA, 4136 nt
Filed under: Homo sapiens (human)
Lineage: Eukaryota; Metazoa; Chordata; Mammalia; Primates; Hominidae
Description: HSALNT0340153
Source: RNAcentral
CCUGACUGGAGCUCAGCGAGCCGAAGGGGCUGGUGGAGAAGGGGCUGCUGGUCUGGGCAGCCUAGGUUGGGAGGGAGGGUCAUGGCGGGAGUGUGGAGGAGCAAGACAUCCCCACGCCCCCCGCCCCCUGCCCCAGACCCCAGUGUUGAUGAAUAAGAAGCGGAUUAAGAAGAGUGAGAGCUGAAGAGACAGGAGAAUCAGGGACCACGAGAGCCCGUGCAAGAUCCGGAGCACAGGGGCUUCCCUGGGUCCCAGGCUUUCUGCAGGACUCACCCCCAACUACCCCGGUGUCCUCCUUCCAGCCAGCCUCCCCGCGGGUCCUGAGAGGAGAGUUUCCUAAAGAGAAGGAAGAAACUCGGACUUCCCUCCUGUUAUGUUCGGGCUCCUCUGUGAGAAAGAGGAGGAGAGAGGAAAAUGAAGGGCCCAUUCUCUGUCCCCAGAGAGCCCCCAGGAAUGUUGGGAAGAUCUGCAAGGAUGAGCCUGAACCUAGAGCGUGACCUGUAGCUGGACCCUGUGGGAACUCACACGUGCCUCCAGGAAGGACAGUGAGCGGAGCAUACACACCAAUUCUACCGAACCCGUUCCCACGCACAGUCGCCCCCACCCCGUGGUUCCAGAACUGGUGGGUUCUUGAUCUCGCUGACUUCAAGCAUGAAGCCAUGAACCUUCACUGGGUGAAGGGGCAAGACCUUUGCAGUGAGCGUCACGGCUCUUAAAGGCGGUGUGUCUGGAGUUACCCACUCCUCCUGGGGAGUUCAUAGCCUCACUGGCUUCAGGAUUGAAGCUGCAGACCAUCCCGCUAGACACAAAAGUUUUCCAAGUCCCCAGCCGUCACAGAAGCCCAGUCAUCUUCAGUUCUCACUGGCAAUCGCUGCAGGAGUUUGCAGCACCUAGCCUGGGCACUCCGGCAGCCCAGAGAAAGCUCCUAGACAACCAAGAAGAAAAGAGGGGAAGCGAGAAAGACACUGAGACUAGCCAUGGUGACCAAUGACCCUGCGAAGAGGGAACGGGGUCCAUGCACGGGACCCAGCCUCCUAUGAAGCCCAGCAGGUGCCGGCCUGCCGAGCCCGCGCCCACCCGGAACCAGCGUCGGCCCACGAGCGCCGAGCGCAGCCCUGGCUCCCACCUGCGCCUCUCCCUCCACACCUCCCCACGAGAAGAGGGAGUGGACUCCUGCCUCGGCCAGCCCCAAAGAGGGGCCUCCACACCGCAGCGCGGGCUGAAGGGCUCCUCCAGCACGGCCAGAGCGGAUGGUGAGGCCGAGGAGGCGCCCAGAGCGAGCAAGAGCUGCUAGCACGUUGUCACCUCUCACCAGCAUCACUAGCUCGAGGCUCCAUAGUGUUUAUAUGGGGGCCUGGGGGGGCGCAGUAUCAAGCUGCACGCAGGCUGGGACUUGGAGUGAUUUCCCAGCACCCUGUGGCCCUGAAAGGCCCCUGGCCCCAGAAGGACCCACCUGUGAUCUAGAGAACGAAGCUCCUCCCCUUCACCGCUCAACCUGGCCAGCAAGCAAAUGAUGAAUGAACCGUGGAGAAUGUCUGUCGAGGGGCCCUGGCUGAGGGCAGCGGCAGGUGGGCACAUACCCAUGCUGCUCCCACCCCUGCCAAUCUCAAGGAGAACCUGGCUCACCGGUUGGAGGCUGUGGAGAGAGAAAGCUGGGCCCCGAAGCCAUAUGGCAUUUGUUGGCACACAACCUGGCUGGCCUCCAGCCAGUCAGCGCCUUCAUCUGACUUGGCAUAAAAAUGACAACAGCGCCAGGCACUGUUCUAGGAUGCACACAUCCAUACACAGUCCUUACAGGGCUCUUUGAGGAAGGAUCGUCAUCUCCACUUUACAAGUGAGAAAACUAGGGCAUAGAGAGGUAAAUGAUUUGCCUUCAGCCGCCCAGCUGGGAGGCCAUGGCGCCAGGACAUGGACCAUUGGCUUGGGCAGCCUGGUAGUAGAAGCUCUGUGCUGACCACCAUGCUACAUGGCCUCUCUCAGGUCCUCCAGGCCCUUGGCCCUUCCCAGGUCAGGUUCACAUUGUGCAGGUGGCCUGGUGGAUGGCCCUCUAGCCUCUGCCUGAAGACAGCCAGCGUGGGUGCCCACUCCACUGCUCCUGACCUGGCUCUGUGGGGCAGAAGGCCGUCCUGGACAGGGUCUGAAGCAGUUCUUCAGGGCGUCAUCUGCCCACUCAGCCUCUGCUGCCUCCUGCCCCUUCUGCCUCUUGGUGGCCUUCUGGAGACUUGAAGAGAAUAGUCACAAUGCCUGUGGACCUGCUCACCCGUCGGUCCACACAGCCCUGGCCCAGACUGAGAGGGACCAGUCGUGAGACCAACUGUGUUCCAGGCCCGGGCUUGGACUUUUCGUUAGCUUUAAAAAUCUUGUGUUUGGGUUGUGACUAGCAUUUAAUAUUUUUUGAUGGAAUAGAAGAGAAUAGAAGCUAGAGCAUGAGUCAGUAUUGCUUCUUGAAGCUUUUAACUCCAUGUUACAUACAUGCACGUGUUUAUGCUGAGUCAGAGUGAAAAAUGAACUUCUCACUAUGGGAAAGUGAACAAGUUUGAAGGACACUCAGUCCUGUAGAUUGCCUUCUCCUUUCUUGCAUCCUAUUUUGGUUCCUGCAUUGACCCCCAGCCAGCCCAGGUCUCCCCUCAGGCUGAGCUCAGAAGCCUCCCGCUCCCGGCCCUGCUGAGCCAUGUCGAGAUCUGGGCACACAGGGAGACAGGAAGCCUUGUGGACUGGGCGAUGAGAAAAGGAACCGCUGCAUAAUGUACGCUCACCAUGUGCCAGGCUCUGUGCUGAAUGCUCCACUUCCAUCGUCUGUUAAGUCUCAUGAAGUAGGUGGCGUGUUCGCUCCGUUCCGCAGAUGAGGAAACAGGCGCGGGCUCUUCACCUUCUUGCUCAGUCAUGACACUCAUGGAAACGUCAUAACUGAGUUUAAAUCUGGGUCUUGGAGCUUCCCGGGUCACUCUCUUCACACCAGCCUGCAGCACUGCUUGGGAGCGGUGAGCACCCAGGCAAGCAGUGAUUAGGUGCUUGCCUGAUCCUCCCACCUCACCUCCCUGAUCACCUCCUCCUCUUCCUCCCUACACCCAGAGCAAUGGCUCCUGUCGAGUUCCUCCCUCUAGGGCCCAAGGGGUUCAGUGAAUCUAAUUGGAAGCAGCUUUUUAGUCCUGUGACCCAGAGGCUUGCUGAGGGCGUGGGGAGGGGACCAGAUUGUGGAGAGCCAGGCCUGAGGCCAGCAGAGUCUAUUGCGCAACCUGCAGGCUGCACAGCCCCAGCCCUGGGGGUUGCAUUUCUCCCUUUACCUUUUCCCCAUUCAAUUCACAAUAGCGGUCUGGUGGCAGACACCACAUUCCUGGCACUGUGGAGGCUAAGUCACCAAGAGGGCCGCACACUCCCUCAUAGAGCUGCUCAGAGCUCUCUCCACCGUGGCCCGGGGCUCAGGCUUCAAAGUGGAGGGCCUCUUCCUCUCUUGCCUCUCCCUUCUUGGAGGCAUGGGUUCCGGAGUGGGCACUACGUUUGUCGUUAGUUGCACUUGGGUUCAAGCCAGGUUUGGGGGCACAGGAAGAUAUGGUGGCUAUUCAACUAUUCAACCCGCCCCCUCAAAUAAAAUCCCACUAUGACUGAAAAUAAAUCCUAUUAUUUGUGAAGUCCUCCCCAUUUCACUCAAAGUAAAACACCAAAGGCUUUACAAUGGCCUACGCAGGACUACAAAGACCUCCGAGUCUUGCCUCUCUGGACGAAUCUUCUUUCUUUUCUUUCUUUCAUUGCUCACGCAACUCCAGCCUUGCUGACUUCCUUGCAGUUCCUGCCCCAGGGCGUUUGCACUUGUCACUCCCUCUGCCUGGAGCAGGUUCCCUCAGACACCCAUAUGACUCACUCACCUCUUCACUCUUAGUCCCACCUGCAGCCUCUGCAGUGGCUUUUGCUAUUUCUUCACUUUAUUUUUUUCUCCAUGGUGCUUACUACUAAAAUGCCACAUAACUUGUUUAUUUACUUUGUUGUAUCAUUUCUGUUUCUCCAUUAGAAUGUAAGCUGCAUAAGGGUGGAUUUUUUGUUCCGUUUGUUCAGCAGUGCCUAGCACAGAGCAGGCAUGAGAAAAAUGUUUGUGGAAAUGAAUUGAAAUUGAAUUAAAAUAGUCAUAAGGAUGUCCAGAA